This 1130-nucleotide ribosomal RNA is filed under the name Proteus hauseri. RNAcentral's name for it is "bacterial LSU rRNA". It matches the Rfam family "Bacterial large subunit ribosomal RNA", at positions 1140 to 2153 of the family's 2925-position model. The record is from RNAcentral. Lineage: Bacteria; Pseudomonadati; Pseudomonadota; Gammaproteobacteria; Enterobacterales; Morganellaceae.
GCUCACUGGUCGAGUCGGCCCGCGCGGAAGAUGUAACGGGGCUAAACCAUGCACCGAAGCUGCGGCAGCGAACGUAUCACUUAAAUUUGUUUGAGUGAGAAACGAUUGACGGAACGAAGUGACGUCAAUGCGUCCAUUAAAGUCGAGGCGAAAGCCAGGCUAAGCGGAUUUAAGGAUACGUUCGUUGGGUAGGGGAGCGUUCUGUAAGCCUGCGAAGGUGUGCUGUGAGGCAUGCUGGAGGUAUCAGAAGUGCGAAUGCUGACAUAAGUAACGAUAAUGCGGGUGAAAAACCCGCACGCCGGAAGACCAAGGGUUCCUGUCCAACGUUAAUCGGGGCAGGGUGAGUCGACCCCUAAGGCGAGGCUGAAAAGCGUAGUCGAUGGGAAACGGGUUAAUAUUCCCGUACUGGUGGUAACUGCGAUGGGGGAACGGAGAAGGCUAGGUUGUCCGGGCGACGGUCGUCCCGGUUCAAGCAUGUAGGCAGAGUGAUUAGGCAAAUCCGGUCACUUAAUGCUGAGGUGUGAUGACGAACCACUAAGGUGGUGAAGCAAUUGAUGCCCUGCUUCCAGGAAAAGCCUCUAAGCUUCAGGUUACCAACAAUCGUACCCCAAACCGACACAGGUGGUCAGGUAGAGAAUACUCAGGCGCUUGAGAGAACUCGGGUGAAGGAACUAGGCAAAAUGGUGCCGUAAGUUCGGGAGAAGGCACGCUGGCGGUAAGUGAAGUCCCUUGCGGACAGAGCCGAAGCCAGUCGAAGAUACCAGCUGGCUGCAACUGUUUAUUAAAAACACAGCACUGUGCAAACACGAAAGUGGACGUAUACGGUGUGACGCCUGCCCGGUGCUGGAAGGUUAAUUGAUGGGGUUAUCCUUAGGGAGAAGCUCUUGAUCGAAGCCCCAGUAAACGGCGGCCGUAACUAUAACGGUCCUAAGGUAGCGAAAUUCCUUGUCGGGUAAGUUCCGACCUGCACGAAUGGCGUAAUGAUGGCCAGGCUGUCUCCACCCGAGACUCAGUGAAAUUGAACUCGCUGUGAAGAUGCAGUGUACCCGCGGCAAGACGGAAAGACCCCGUGAACCUUUACUAUAGCUUGACACUGAACAUUGAGCCUUGAUGUGUAGGAUAGGUGGGAG